This 1377-nucleotide long non-coding RNA is filed under the name Malus domestica (apple). Its description in RNAcentral is "long non-coding RNA (MDOM_LNC020476)". Lineage: Eukaryota; Viridiplantae; Streptophyta; Magnoliopsida; Rosales; Rosaceae. The record is from RNAcentral.
UAUUUCCAUCGAUAUUUCCGUGUUUUCGGACUACCGAUAUUUCCGAUAUUACCGAUAUUUUCUUCCUUGGUUAUAACCAUCCGCCCAUUUAAAUUUCACAGUUACAAUUAUAGGUAACUGUUUAGAUAAAUAAACGGUUAUGGGUAUAACCGUUUAUCCACGAAAUUUAAAUAGACAGUUAUGGGUAUUAUCUGCGGUUAUAAACGGUUAACCAUUUACACAAAUCAUGUUCCCUAUCAAACAAAACUUAGAUCAAUGCUAUUGACUAUAGUGCAUGACUAGUAAUAAGCCCGCGCGAUGCCCCGGGAGUUGAAUGCACCAGCCUUAAUUACAUGAAUAAGACAUAUUUAAUCCGAAAAACAUUCAACAUAAUCAUGAACGAACAAAAAAGAUAGAUCUAGGAAAUUAUAAAAAGCAUUGUAACCGUAGAUCCAAUAAAUUAUAAAAAUCCAUCCAAUCAAGAGACUAAUAGUUGUGGGAAGGUGGGUAUGCAACCAAGAAUCUUAAGAUAUACUUGACUUGCAAUUCCAUUAUAAUUUCACACAAAAAAAAAAGGAUCAAAUUGCAGGGUUGACUUAACGGGUUAGGUUGAACCCGACCCAAACCCAAUAAACCCGAUCCGUUUACAGGUCUAAUUGCAGGGUUGACUUGUAAAGAGUGAAUGAAGUCCUGAAAACACAAAGAAUAAAAAGCCUCUGUUUCAAUUAACUAAAAAAAAGCAAACCAUAAACAAAGUGAGAUAUCUGGUAACCAAAAAAUGAAUCUUGGAAAAUAGACAUAAACAAACUUCAAUCAAAAUUACUUUAAUACAUUUGGAUAUCAAGGAAAAUUAAAUUUAUUCAAUUUCGAUAUAAAAAAAAUAAUUAAUGCAGGAACAACAUUUGUGCCUCAAUGACGUGAGAAGUACUCAAAACAAACAUUGUUUUCUUUAAGUCUUUAGUCUAUCUCUGCAAAUCGCAAUAACUCAUAUCCAUUGAGAAUCAAAUUAACUAAUUAACUUACUAACCCGUCCUGUAAAUUUCACAUCUAUGCUCUAAACAGAUUUUGUAACUAAUAUCCCAAAAAAGUGGCAAAAGGGAAGGAAAAAAACUUUUGUAUGGUACCCUGCAGUGUUAUUUGUGUAACCAAAGUCAAGCGCUGAAACGCCAGCAACCUCAUUGUAUUCUUGGAAAUCUAUUGUAGAUUUUAUGGCUCCAAAAGAAAAUAUAUCCUUCAGCAUUAAUACCAUUUAGACUGAAGUAUUUUUUUCCAAGUGAAUACACAUGCAAAGUAUCAAAAAGAGAGAAAGGAGAAAAAAUUAUCAAAAUAAGAAUUACAAACCUGUCCUAUAAUAUAAACAAAAGGCAAUUACAGAAAAAUAGCUGGAAAACACAACAU